RNAcentral lists this ribosomal RNA (440 nucleotides) under uncultured bacterium. Its description in RNAcentral is "partial 16S ribosomal RNA". It matches the Rfam family "Bacterial small subunit ribosomal RNA", at positions 338 to 795 of the family's 1533-position model. The record is from RNAcentral.
CCUACGGGUGGCUGCAGUAGGGAAUAUUGCUCAAUGGGGGAAACCCUGAAGCAGCAACGCCGCGUGGAGGAUGAAGGUUCUAGGAUUGUAAACUCCUUUUGUUAGAGAAGCUUAUGAAGGUAUGUAACGAAUAAGCACCGGCUAACUCCGUGCCAGCAGCCGAGGUACUACGGAGGGUGCAAGCGUUACACGGAAUCACUGGGCGUAAAGAGUGCGUAGGCGGGGUAAUAAGUCAGAUGUGAAAUACUGUAGCUUAACUACAGAACUGCAGUUGAAACUGUUACUCUGGAGUGUGGGAGAGGUAGGUGGAAUGCUUGGUGUAGGGGUGAAAUGCGUAGAGAUCAAGAGGAAUACUCAUUGCGAAGGCGGCCUGCUGGAACAUUACUGACGCUGAUGCACGAAAGCGUGGGGAGCAAACAGGAUUAGAUACCCUGGUAGUC